This is a non-coding RNA of Sphaeroforma arctica JP610, 72 nucleotides long. The record is from Rfam. Lineage: Eukaryota; Ichthyosporea; Ichthyophonida.
UCCUUUGAAGCUAACCGGUGCAGCGCUUCACUUGUAAUGAAGAGAUAUCCAGUUCGACUCUGGGCAAGGGCU